GACGAACGCUGGCGGCGUGCCUAAUACAUGCAAGUAGAACGCUGAAGGAGGAGCUUACUUCUCUGGAUGAGUUGCGAACGGGUGAGUAACGCGUAGGUAACCUGCCUGGUAGCGGGGGAUAACUAUUGGAAACGAUAGCUAAUACCGCAUAAGAGUAGAUGUUGCAUGACAUUUACUUAAAAGGUGCAAUUGCACCACUACCAGAUGGACCUGCGUUGUAUUAGCUAGUUGGUGGGGUAACGGCUUACCAAGGCGACGAUACAUAGCCGACCUGAGAGGGUGAUGGGCCAGACUGGGACUGGGACACGGUCCAGAAUCCUACGGGAGGCCGCAGUAGGGAAUCUUCGGCAAUGGACGGAAGUCUGACCGAGCAACGCGGCGUGAGUGAAGAAGGUUUUCGGAUCGUAAAGCUCUGUUGUAAGAGAAGAACGAGUGUGAGAGUGGAAAGUUCACACUGUGACGGUAUCUUACCAGAAAGGGACGGCUAACUACGUGCCAGCCGCCGCGGUAA
This 511-nucleotide ribosomal RNA is filed under the name uncultured bacterium. RNAcentral's name for it is "partial 16S ribosomal RNA". It matches the Rfam family "Bacterial small subunit ribosomal RNA", at positions 28 to 523 of the family's 1533-position model. The record is from RNAcentral.